RNAcentral lists this ribosomal RNA (433 nucleotides) under uncultured bacterium. Its description in RNAcentral is "partial 16S ribosomal RNA". It matches the Rfam family "Bacterial small subunit ribosomal RNA", at positions 29 to 507 of the family's 1533-position model. The record is from RNAcentral.
AACGAACGCUGGCGGCAUGCCUAACACAUGCCAGUCGAACGAGACCUUCGGGUCUAGUGGCGCACGGGUGCGUAACGCGUGGGAACCUGCCCUUAGGUUCGGAAUAACUCCCCGAAAGGGGUGCUAAUACCGGAUAAUGUCUUCGGACCAAAGAUUUAUCGCCUUUGGAUGGGCCCGCGUUGGAUUAGCUGGUUGGUAGGGUAAAAGCCUACCAAGGCGACGAUCCAUAGCUGGUCUGAGAGGAUGAUCAGCCACACUGGGACUGAGACACGGCCCAGACUCCUACGGGAGGCAGCAGUGGGGAAUAUUGGACAGUGGGCGAAAGCCUGAUCCAGCAAUGCCGCGUGAGUGAUGAAGGCCUUAGGGUUGUAAAGCUCUUUUACCCGGGAUGAUAAUGACAGUACCGGGAGAAUAAGCUCCGGCUAACUCCGUG